UGCGUAGGUGGUUUUUUAAGUCCGUUGUGAAAUCCCUGGGCUCAACCUGGGAAUGGCAGUGGAUACUGGAAAGCUAGAGUGCGGUAGAGGGUAGUGGAAUUCCCGGUGUAGCAGUGAAAUGCGUAGAGAUCGGGAGGAACACCAGUGGCGAAGGCGGCUACCUGGACCAGCACUGACACUGAGGCACGAAAGCGUGGGGAGCAAACA
RNAcentral lists this ribosomal RNA (207 nucleotides) under uncultured bacterium. RNAcentral describes it as "partial 16S ribosomal RNA". It matches the Rfam family "Bacterial small subunit ribosomal RNA", at positions 568 to 774 of the family's 1533-position model. The record is from RNAcentral.